Molecule: transfer RNA, 71 nt
Filed under: Thamnocephalis sphaerospora
Lineage: Eukaryota; Fungi; Zoopagomycota; Zoopagomycetes; Zoopagales; Sigmoideomycetaceae
Rfam family: tRNA
About the family: Transfer RNA (tRNA) molecules are approximately 80 nucleotides in length. Their secondary structure includes four short double-helical elements and three loops (D, anti-codon, and T loops). Further hydrogen bonds mediate the characteristic L-shaped molecular structure. tRNAs have two regions of fundamental functional importance: the anti-codon, which is responsible for specific mRNA codon recognition, and the 3' end, to which the tRNAs corresponding amino acid is attached (by aminoacyl-tRNA synthetases). tRNAs cope with the degeneracy of the genetic code in two manners: having more than one tRNA (with a specific anti-codon) for a particular amino acid; and 'wobble' base-pairing, i.e. permitting non-standard base-pairing at the 3rd anti-codon position.
Source: Rfam by way of RNAcentral
GCUGUAGUAGUGUAGUGGCAUCACAAGACGUUGUGGCCGUCUUAACCCUGGUUCGAUUCCAGGCUAUAGCA